GAACGAACGCUGGCGGCAUGCCUACCACAUGCAAGUCGAACGAGACCUUCGGGUCUAGUGGCGCACGGGUGCGUAACGCGUGGGAACCUGCCCUUAGGUUCGGAAUAACUCCCCGAAAGGGGUGCUAAUACCGGAUAAUGUCUUCGGACCAAAGAUUUAUCGCCUUUGGAUGGGCCCGCGUUGGAUUAGCUAGUUGGUAGGGUAAAAGCCUACCAAGGCGACGAUCCAUAGCUGGUCUUAGAGGAUGAUCAGCCACACUGGGACUGAGACACGGCCCAGACUCCUACGGGAGGCAGCAGUGGGGAAUAUUGGACAAUGGGCGAAAGCCUGAUCCAGCAAUGCCGCGUGAGUGAUGAAGGCCUUAGGGUUGUAAAGCUCUUUUACCCGGGAUGAUAAUGACAGUACCGGGAGAAUAAGCUCCGGCUAACUCCGUG
Molecule: ribosomal RNA, 434 nt
Filed under: uncultured bacterium
Lineage: Bacteria
Description: partial 16S ribosomal RNA
Rfam family: Bacterial small subunit ribosomal RNA
Source: RNAcentral